RNAcentral lists this transfer RNA (71 nucleotides) under Klebsiella grimontii. RNAcentral describes it as "tRNA-Val". It matches the Rfam family "tRNA". From Rfam's summary of the family: Transfer RNA (tRNA) molecules are approximately 80 nucleotides in length. Their secondary structure includes four short double-helical elements and three loops (D, anti-codon, and T loops). Further hydrogen bonds mediate the characteristic L-shaped molecular structure. tRNAs have two regions of fundamental functional importance: the anti-codon, which is responsible for specific mRNA codon recognition, and the 3' end, to which the tRNAs corresponding amino acid is attached (by aminoacyl-tRNA synthetases). tRNAs cope with the degeneracy of the genetic code in two manners: having more than one tRNA (with a specific anti-codon) for a particular amino acid; and 'wobble' base-pairing, i.e. permitting non-standard base-pairing at the 3rd anti-codon position. The record is from RNAcentral. Lineage: Bacteria; Pseudomonadati; Pseudomonadota; Gammaproteobacteria; Enterobacterales; Enterobacteriaceae.
GGGUGAUUAGCUCAGCUGGGAGAGCACCUCCCUUACAAGGAGGGGGUCGGCGGUUCCGUCAUCACCCACCA